Molecule: ribosomal RNA, 551 nt
Filed under: uncultured archaeon
Lineage: Archaea
Description: bacterial SSU rRNA
Rfam family: Archaeal small subunit ribosomal RNA
Source: RNAcentral
GGGUGCAGCAGGCGCGAAAACUUUACAAUGCUGGCAACAGCGAUAAGGGGACCUCGAGUGCCAGGUUACAAAUCUGGCUGUCGUGAUGCCUAAAAAGCAUUGCAUAGCAAGGGCCGGGCAAGACCGGUGCCAGCCGCCGCGGUAACACCGGCGGCUCGAGUGGUAACCGUUAUUAUUGGGUCUAAAGGGUCUGUAGCCGGCCGGAUAAGUCUCUUGGGAAAUCUGGCAGCUUAACUGUCAGGCUUUCAGGAGAUACUGUCUGGCUCGAGGCCGGGAGAGGUGAGAGGUACUUCAGGGGUAGGGGUGAAAUCUUGUAAUCCUUGAAGGACCACCAGUGGCGAAGGCGUCUCACCAGAACGGACCUGACGGCAAGGGACGAAAGCUAGGGACACGAACCGGAUUAGAUACCCGGGUAGUCCUAGCCGUAAACGAUACUCGCUAGGUGUCGGCCACGGUGCGACCGUUGUCGGUGCCGUAGGGAAGCCGUGAAGCGAGCCACCUGGGAAGUACGGCCGCAAGGCUGAAACUUAAAGGAAUUGGCGGGGGAGCAC